AGCGAACGCUGGCGGCAGGCCUAACACAUGCAAGUCGAACGAACUCUUCGGAGUUAGUGGCGGACGGGUGAGUAACACGUGGGAACGUGCCUUUAGGUUCGGAAUAACUCAGGGAAACUUGUGCUAAUACCGAAUGUGCCCUUCGGGGGAAAGAUUUAUCGCCUUUAGAGCGGCCCGCGUCUGAUUAGCUAGUUGGUGAGGUAAAGGCUCACCAAGGCGACGAUCAGUAGCUGGUCUGAGAGGAUGAUCAGCCACAUUGGGACUGAGACACGGCCCAAACGAAGACGGGAGGCGGCAGUGGAGAUGAUGGCAGAAUGGGCGAGAGACUGACGCGGCCGGGUGGGGUGAAUGAGGAAGGACUUAGGAUUGAAAACUUCUGGGCCGGGGGGGAAUAAAGAAGGUGCGGGGAGAACAGGCCACGGACAGCGUCGGGCCAGCAGCGGCGGUAAGAAAGGAAAGAGCACACUUCUGACC
RNAcentral lists this ribosomal RNA (474 nucleotides) under uncultured bacterium. Its description in RNAcentral is "partial 16S ribosomal RNA". It matches the Rfam family "Bacterial small subunit ribosomal RNA", at positions 36 to 538 of the family's 1533-position model. The record is from RNAcentral.